This 20-nucleotide unclassified non-coding RNA is filed under the name Mus musculus (house mouse). Its description in RNAcentral is "oocyte_clustered_small_RNA1369". The record is from RNAcentral. Lineage: Eukaryota; Metazoa; Chordata; Mammalia; Rodentia; Muridae.
UGCACAAUGCUCUGGCCAUU